UCAGUGUUUUAUGAUCUGACAUUAUUGUUCAGCUCAUCAAGGCAAGACAAUGCUGUGUUGAAUACUGAAAUCAGUACUGCCACGUCAGUUCCAGAUGUUUGUACCUCUACCCUCCAACCUCCGAACCCUUUGUAUUGUUCUGUUACAGUUCCAAAAUUAGGUUUCUACCAAGAGGAAAACAUGAUAUCCACCUAAUAAAUAACAGUAAAGAGGGUGAGCUGAUCUUAUAGGCACAUUAGAUAGACCUUUAAAUAAUCAUCUAUCCACACGGUACAGUGUAUUUUCCAAACUACACUCAUUACUUAAAGUAGCUAUGACAGGGUAUGAUAUAUAUAUAAUCAGCAGGGUGCAAUGGGGAAGAAGAAAAGGACUUCCAAAGCCUUUGGCAGGCCGCGCUGUACUACAGUCAAAUCCUGUGACCCCAGGUAUUUGAAAGCGACAAAAAAAGCCUAUGUCUCAUCCUCCUAUGAUAUAAAUGUAAUUCCUAAGUGUGGAAGAAGACAGAAAACAAGCUGCUUUUCCAAGAUGAUCA
Etheostoma spectabile (orangethroat darter) is the source of this 532-nucleotide long non-coding RNA. RefSeq lists it as uncharacterized. The record is from RefSeq and is a predicted model, not a curated record. NCBI's taxonomy places the organism in Eukaryota, Metazoa, Chordata, Actinopteri, Perciformes, Percidae. The transcript is spliced from 2 exons.